AUAAAAAAUUUUAUAUAUAUAUAUAUAUAUAUAGUUUAUUGAUUAAAAUAAAUAAUUUUUUUUUUAUUAAAAUUUAGAAAAAAUUUUUUUUAUGAUAGAUUAUUAGUAUUGAGAAAGAAUAAUUUUAAAUUAUUAAAAGAAAAAUUUAAUUUUUGUACCUUGUGUAUCAGGAUGGAUUAAAUAAAUUAAUUAUUUAAAUAUCUCGAAUUUAAAAGAGCUAAAUAUUUAUAUUUUUUAAUGUAAAAUAAUUAUUAUAAAUAAAUAUUUAGUAAUGAAAUGUUAUUCGUUUUUAAAUAUAUCUAGUUUUUUAAGAAAAAAUUUAAAUUUUAUUUAUAUUUUUAUUUUUAAAUUUUUAUUUGGUAUAUAGGUAUAGUUAAAUAAUUAUAGGGAUAAGCUUAUAAUUAUAUUUUGAUAAAUAGAUUGUUUAAUUUAAUUUGUAGAAUUAGAAUUAUUUAUUAUUUAAAUUAUGUUAUAAUUUAUUAAAUAUUAUUUUAUAUUUUAUUAAUUUUCAUUUUUUUAUUAAAAUAUUAAUAUAAAUUUUGAAUAUUAAAAUUUAAUGAUUUAAUUAGUAUAAAGGAUUAUAAAAAUAGGUUUAAUUGAAAUGUUUAAAUAAGGAAUUAGGCAAAUAAUUUUUUACCUGUUUAUUAAAAACAUGUCUUUUUGAGUAUAAUUUAAAGUUUGACCUGCCCACUGAAGAUUAAAUGGCCGCGGUAUUUUGACCGUGCAAAGGUAGCAUAAUCAAUAGUUUUUUAAUUGAAAGCUGGAAUGAAAGGUUAGAUAAGAAAAAUACUUUCUAAUAUUAAUUUAUAGAAAUUUAUUUUUAAGUUAAAAAGCUUAAAUAUUAUUAAGGGACGAGAAGACCCUAUAGAGUUUAAUAUUUAUUGGAAAUAAUUUUUUUUGUAUUAAUAAUUUUAUUUUUAAUAAAUAUUUAAUUGGGGCGAUUGAAAAAUAAAUAAACUUUUUUUUUAAAAAUUCAUUAAUAUAUGUUUUGUUGAUCCAUGAUUUAUGAUUAUAAGAUUAAAUUACCUUAGGGAUAACAGCGUAAUUUUUUUUGAGAGUUCUUAUUGAAAAAAGAGAUUGCGACCUCGAUGUUGGAUUAAGAUAAAAUUUUGGUGAAGAAGCUGAAUUUUUAAGUCUGUUCGACUUAUAAAAUCUUACAUGAUCUGAGUUUAAACCGGUGUAAGCCAGGUUGGUUUCUAUCUUUAAUUAAAUUAAAAUAUUUUAGUACGAAAGGACCAAAUAUUGGAUUAAUAAUUUUAUUAUUGAUUAUUAAU
RNAcentral lists this ribosomal RNA (1274 nucleotides) under Pediacus ater. RNAcentral describes it as "16S ribosomal RNA". The stretch from base 1033 to 1191 matches the Rfam family "Archaeal large subunit ribosomal RNA", at positions 2544 to 2703 of the family's 2987-position model. Lineage: Eukaryota; Metazoa; Arthropoda; Insecta; Coleoptera; Cucujidae. The record is from RNAcentral.